GACGAACGCUGGCGGCGUGCUUAACACAUGCAAGUCGAACGGAAAGGCCCUGCUUUUGUGGGGUGCUCGAGUGGCGAACGGGUGAGUAACACGUGAGUAACCUGCCCUUGACUUUGGGAUAACUUCAGGAAACUGGGGCUAAUACCGGAUAGGAGCUCCUGCUGCAUGGUGGGGGUUGGAAAGUUUCGGCGGUUGGGGAUGGACUCGCGGCUUAUCAGCUUGUUGGUGGGGUAGUGGCUUACCAAGGCUUUGACGGGUAGCCGGCAUGAGAGGGUGACCGGCCACAUUGGGACUGAGAUACGGCCCAGACUCCUACGGGAGGCAGCAGUGGGGAAUAUUGCACAAUGGGCGGAAGCCUGAUGCAGCAACGCCGCGUGCGGGAUGACGGCCUUCGGGUUGUAAACCGCUUUCGCCUGUGACGAAGCGUGAGUGACGGUAAUGGGUAAAGAAGCGCCGGUUAACUACGUG
RNAcentral lists this ribosomal RNA (468 nucleotides) under uncultured bacterium. RNAcentral's name for it is "partial 16S ribosomal RNA". It matches the Rfam family "Bacterial small subunit ribosomal RNA", at positions 28 to 507 of the family's 1533-position model. The record is from RNAcentral.